Molecule: ribosomal RNA, 466 nt
Filed under: uncultured bacterium
Lineage: Bacteria
Description: SSU rRNA
Rfam family: Bacterial small subunit ribosomal RNA
Source: RNAcentral
GGGAUAAACGCUGGCGGCGUGCCUAACACAUGCAAGUCGAACGUCUCUUCUUUCGGGAAGAGGAGUGGCGGACGGGUGAGGAACACGUGGGAACCUGCCCUUUAGUGAGGAAUACCGGCGAGAAAUCGCCGACAAGACCGCAUAGCCCUCUCUGGUGAGAGCCAGAGAAGGAAAGCUUCGCAAGAGGCGCUGGAGGAGGGGCCUGCGUCCGAUUAGCUAGUUGGUGGGGUAAGAGCCUACCAAGGCGUCGAUCGGUAGCUGGUCUGAGAGGACGAUCAGCCACACUGGGAUUGAGAACGGCCCAGACUCCUACGGGGGCAGCAGUGAGGAAUUUUCGGCAAUGGGGGAAACCCUGACCGAGCAACGCCGCGUGCAGGAAGACGGCCUUGGUGUAACUGCUUUCUUUGGGACGAGCAAGGACGGUACCAGAGGAAUCAGCCCCGGCUCACUACGUGCCAGCAGCCGC